RNAcentral lists this ribosomal RNA (253 nucleotides) under uncultured bacterium. RNAcentral's name for it is "partial 16S ribosomal RNA". It matches the Rfam family "Bacterial small subunit ribosomal RNA", at positions 524 to 776 of the family's 1533-position model. The record is from RNAcentral.
UACGAAGGGGGCUAGCGUUGCUCGGAAUUACUGGGCGUAAAGCGCACGUAGGCGGCUUUGUAAGUUAGAGGUGAAAGCCCGGGGCUCAACUCCGGAAUUGCCUUUAAGACUGCAUCGCUAGAAUUGUGGAGAGGUAAGUGGAAUUCCGAGUGUAGAGGUGAAAUUCGUAGAUAUUCGGAAGAACACCAGUGGCGAAGGCGACUUACUGGACACAUAUUGACGCUGAGGUGCGAAAGCGUGGGGAGCAAACAGG